RNAcentral lists this unclassified non-coding RNA (233 nucleotides) under uncultured Microbotryomycetes. Its description in RNAcentral is "sequence contains ITS2". Lineage: Eukaryota; Fungi; Basidiomycota; Microbotryomycetes. The record is from RNAcentral.
ACUCCUCAACCCUCCGGUUCCUUGUUGAACUGCGAGGUGUUUGGAUUCUGAAUGUUGCUGGCCUGAAGUCUCGGGAUUUCAAAGCGCGAAGCUCGUUCGUAAUACAUUAGCAUCUCGAUUUCGAGUAUUCGGAUUGACUCGGCGUAAUAGACUUUAUUCGCUGAGGACACUUGGUUUUCAAGUGGCCGAAUUUCGAGGUGGAAGCUUCCAACUCUACUGAAGUCAAAUCUAUA